UACAGAGGUGGCAAGCGUUGUUCGGAAUUACUGGGCGUAAAGGGCGCGUAGGCGGCCCUCUUAGUCGGACGUGAAAUCCCCAGGCUUAACUUGGGAAUUGCGCUCGAAACUACGUGGCUCGAGUGUGGCAGAGGAAGGUGGAAUUCCACGUGUAGCGGUGAAAUGCGCAGAGAUGUGGAGGAACACCGAUGGCGAAGGCAGCCUUCUGGGCCAACACUGACGCUCAUGCACGAAAGCGUGGGGAGCAAACAGG
This 253-nucleotide ribosomal RNA is filed under the name uncultured bacterium. Its description in RNAcentral is "partial 16S ribosomal RNA". It matches the Rfam family "Bacterial small subunit ribosomal RNA", at positions 524 to 776 of the family's 1533-position model. The record is from RNAcentral.